Schistosoma mansoni is the source of this 45-nucleotide non-coding RNA. The record is from Rfam. NCBI's taxonomy places the organism in Eukaryota, Metazoa, Platyhelminthes, Trematoda, Strigeidida, Schistosomatidae.
AUUCAGUUGACGAGUUUCAAAUAAGACGAAACAUGCGUCCUGAAC